This 571-nucleotide ribosomal RNA is filed under the name uncultured bacterium. Its description in RNAcentral is "partial 16S ribosomal RNA". It matches the Rfam family "Bacterial small subunit ribosomal RNA", at positions 355 to 919 of the family's 1533-position model. The record is from RNAcentral.
UGGGGAAUUUUGGACAAUGGGCGAAAGCCUGAUCCAGCAAUGCCGCGUGUGUGAAGAAGGCCUUCGGGUUGUAAGCACUUUUGUCCGGAAAGAAAUCCUUGGCUCUAAUACAGUCGGGGGAUGACGGUACCGGAAGAAUAAGCACCGGCUAACUACGUGCCAGCAGCCGCGGUAAUACGUAGGGUGCAAGCGUUAAUCGGAAUUACUGGGCGUAAAGCGUGCGCAGGCGGUUUGCUAAGACCGAUGUGAAAUCCCCGGGCUCAACCUGGGAACUGCAUUGGGUGACUGGCAGGCUAGAGUAUGGCAGAGGGGGGUAGAAUUCCACGUGUAGCAGUGAAAUGCGUAGAGAUGUGGAGGAAUACCGAUGGCGAAGGCAGCCCCCUGGGCCAAUACUGACGCUCAUGCACGAAAGCGUGGGGAGCAAACAGGAUUAGAUACCCUGGUAGUCCACGCCCUAAACGAUGUCAACUAGUUGUUGGGGAUUCAUUUCCUUAGUAACGUAGCUAACGCGUGAAGUUGACCGCCUGGGGAGUACGGUCGCAAGAUUAAAACUUAAAUGAAUUGACGGGGU